GCGCGGGUGGCGAAACUGGUAGACGCGCACGUUUGAGGGGCGUGUGUCUAACGACUUGGGGGUUCAAAUCCCCCCCCGCGCA
Molecule: transfer RNA, 82 nt
Filed under: Elusimicrobiota bacterium
Lineage: Bacteria; Pseudomonadati; Elusimicrobiota
Also listed under: 1 other name
Description: tRNA-Leu
Rfam family: tRNA
About the family: Transfer RNA (tRNA) molecules are approximately 80 nucleotides in length. Their secondary structure includes four short double-helical elements and three loops (D, anti-codon, and T loops).
Source: RNAcentral